RNAcentral lists this ribosomal RNA (253 nucleotides) under uncultured bacterium. Its description in RNAcentral is "partial 16S ribosomal RNA". It matches the Rfam family "Bacterial small subunit ribosomal RNA", at positions 524 to 776 of the family's 1533-position model. The record is from RNAcentral.
UACGGAGGGUGCAAGCGUUAAUCGGAAUCACUGGGCGUAAAGCGCACGUAGGCGGCUUGGUAAGUCAGGGGUGAAAUCCCACAGCCCAACUGUGGAACUGCCUUUGAUACUGCCAGGCUUGAGUACCGGAGAGGGUGGCGGAAUUCCAGGUGUAGGAGUGAAAUCCGUAGAUAUCUGGAGGAACACCGGUGGCGAAGGCGGCCACCUGGACGGUAACUGACGCUGAGGUGCGAAAGCGUGGGGAGCAAACAGG